UACGAAGGGGGCUAGCGUUGUUCGGAAUCACUGGGCGUAAAGGGCGCGUAGGCGGCUGUUCAAGUCGGGGGUGAAAUCCCGUGGCUCAACCACGGAAUGGCCUUCGAUACUGGACGGCUGGAGACCGGAAGAGGUGAGUGGAACUGCGAGUGUAGAGGUGAAAUUCGUAGAUAUUCGCAAGAACACCAGUGGCGAAGGCGGCUCACUGGCCCGAUACUGACGCUGAGGCACGAAAGCGUGGGGAGCAAACAGG
RNAcentral lists this ribosomal RNA (253 nucleotides) under uncultured bacterium. RNAcentral's name for it is "partial 16S ribosomal RNA". It matches the Rfam family "Bacterial small subunit ribosomal RNA", at positions 524 to 776 of the family's 1533-position model. The record is from RNAcentral.